GUAAGUGGAAGCUUUCUCUUCAUGACUUGGGGCCACAUUUAAUUCCUGUGCUUCCAUGGCAACUGAGGAAUAUUUAGAGGCUCGGUUCAGUGGCACACAUCGGUGGUAGCAAGAGGAAGACAGUGGCUGUCUGACAGUAACAUCUCUGCUCUCAGUUACCUUAGAGAACAAGCUAAUGGAAGAAGAAAGGCCCCAUUUCUGCUACAGAUGCCUUUACAGAGAUUCCUGAUUGUCUGCUCCGAUUCUUUCAUGAUCAGCAGUUCUGUUCCUGAUGUCUGAAGCUGAGUUAUUGCUUUGA
Cyanistes caeruleus (blue tit) is the source of this 298-nucleotide non-coding RNA. NCBI's taxonomy places the organism in Eukaryota, Metazoa, Chordata, Aves, Passeriformes, Paridae. The record is from RefSeq and is a predicted model, not a curated record.